UCGAACGGGCUAGUGCUUCGCACUAGUCUCUUUCUGGGGUUGUUACUCUAAGGCUACCUGCUAAAGUUAUUGCUUUAAAGCAGGGGUUUUAGGAGACUUUCCCCGAAAGGGGCCAGUGCGGAGCACUGGCCAGUGGCGAACGGGUGAGUAACACGUGGGUAAUCUACCCUCGAGUGGGGGAAUAAGCUUCCGAAAGGGGGUCUAAUGCCGCAUAACGUUUCAUAACGAUGGUUAUGAAACCAAAGCCCAAAAGGCGCUCGAGGAGGAGCCUGCGUCCUAUCAGCUUGUUGGCAGGGUAAUGGCCUACCAAGGCUAUGACGGGUAGCCGGCCUGAGAGGGUGUCCGGCCACACUGGAACUGAGACACGGUCCAGACUCCUACGGGAGGCAGCAGUGGGGAAUUUUGCGCAAUGGGGGAAACCCUGACGCAGCGACGCCGCGUGGAGGAUGACGGCCUUCGGGUUGUAAACUCCUGUCAGAAGGGACGAAAUCCCGCAAGGGACUGACGGUACCUUCAGAGGAAGCCCCGGCUAACUACGUG
Molecule: ribosomal RNA, 540 nt
Filed under: uncultured bacterium
Lineage: Bacteria
Description: bacterial SSU rRNA
Rfam family: Bacterial small subunit ribosomal RNA
Source: RNAcentral